GUGUCAGCCGCCGCGGUAAUACAGAGGGUGCAAACGUUGUUCGGAAUUACUGGGCGUAAAGCGCGUGUAGGCGGCCUCGUGUGUCGGAUGUGAAAUCCCAUGGCUCAACCGUGGAAGGGCAUUCGAAACUACGAGGCUGGAGUGCUGGAGAGGAAGGUGGAAUGCUCGGUGUAGAGGUGAAAUUCGUAGAUAUCGAGCGGAACACCGGUGGCGAAGGCGGCCUUCUGGACAGCAACUGACGCUGAGACGCGAAAGCGUGGGGAGCAAACAGGAUUAGAAACCCGUGUAGUCC
This 292-nucleotide ribosomal RNA is filed under the name uncultured bacterium. RNAcentral's name for it is "partial 16S ribosomal RNA". It matches the Rfam family "Bacterial small subunit ribosomal RNA", at positions 505 to 796 of the family's 1533-position model. The record is from RNAcentral.